GCCAAGUGCGGCAGCCUACACAUGCAAGUCGAGCGAGCUCUUCGGAGCUAGCGGCGGACGGGUUAGUAACGCGUGGGAACGUGCCCUUCACUGCGGAAUAGCCACUGGAAACGGUGAGUAAUACCGCAUACGCCCUUCGGGGGAAAGAUUUAUCGGUGAAGGAUCGGCCCGCGUUAGAUUAGAUAGUUGGUGGGGUAACGGCCUACCAAGUCUACGAUCUAUAGCUGGUUUUAGAGGAUGAUCAGCAACACUGGGACUGAGACACGGCCCAGACUCCUACGGGAGGCAGCAGUGGGGAAUCUUGGACAAUGGGCGCAAGCCUGAUCCAGCCAUGCCGCGUGAGUGAUGAAGGCCUUAGGGUCGUAAAGCUCUUUCGCCAGAGAUGAUAAUGACAGUAUCUGGUAAAGAAACCCCGGCUAACUCCGUGCCAGCAGCCGCGGUAAUACGGAGGGGGUUAGCGUUGUUCGGAAUUACUGGGCGUAAAGCGCACGUAGGCGGAUCAGAAAGUUGGGGGUGAAAUCCCGGGGCUCAACCCCGGAACUGCCUCCAAAACUCCUGGUCUUGAGUUCGAGAGAGGUGAGUGGAAUUCCGAGUGUAGAGGUGAAAUUCGUAGAUAUUCGGAGGAACACCAGUGGCGAAGGCGGCUCACUGGCUCGAUACUGACGCUGAGGUGCGAAAGUGUGGGGAGCAAACAGGAUUAGAUACCUUGG
This 710-nucleotide ribosomal RNA is filed under the name Marinovum sp. RNAcentral describes it as "bacterial SSU rRNA". It matches the Rfam family "Bacterial small subunit ribosomal RNA", at positions 35 to 790 of the family's 1533-position model. Lineage: Bacteria; Pseudomonadati; Pseudomonadota; Alphaproteobacteria; Rhodobacterales; Roseobacteraceae. The record is from RNAcentral.